GACCAUCCCUCUCUUUUCUUUCCGCCGCAGCCCAGCAACCGCCGCCCCUAUUCUUCUUUCCGGUCGUUUUCUUCUCUUCUUCGGAUCCAAAACUGCCGUUGUAACCGUCGGCCGCCGCGUGACCUCUGCCCAGCGCCGUGUGACCCUCUGCCCAGUCCCGCCGCGCAACAUCUGUCUCCGUCGAAGCCAAGCCAGUCGCCGUCCAUUCCUCUCCUUUCUCCUCUGUUUUCAGCCAGCCGCCGCCGAUUCCUUCUCCUCCAUUGUCUGCAAUGCCGCGCGACUCUCCGUCCGUCUGUAUACGGUCUCUCCGUCGCACGUCGUCUCUUCGCAAAGCUACUGCUCGACUUCUUCCGCGAAUGACAUCUACCGUGAAUCGAAUUAAAAACC
RNAcentral lists this long non-coding RNA (387 nucleotides) under Cucumis sativus (cucumber). Its description in RNAcentral is "long non-coding RNA (CSAT_LNC003043)". Lineage: Eukaryota; Viridiplantae; Streptophyta; Magnoliopsida; Cucurbitales; Cucurbitaceae. The record is from RNAcentral.